UUCAGGUGAUCCGCCCACCUCGGCUUCCCAAGGUGCUGGGAUUACAGGUGUGAGCCAUGGCACCCAGCCAAUAAUGCUGUUCUAAUAAAUCAGAAGAGUAUCUUUUAUGUGCCAUCUUGGUUAUAUAGUAUAUUCAAACCAGCUGCCUCCAUCAGGACACACCCCCUCUUUUGUUGUUGAUGUUUUGUUAUAGAGACGGGAUCUCACUAUGUUGGCCAGGCUUAUUGAUUGUGAACUCCUGGCUUCAAGCAAUCCUCCCACCUCAGCCUCCUGAACAGCUGCGAUUAUAGGAACAAGCUACCAUGCCCAGCUUAGGACACACCCCCUUUUAUGAAGAUAUAUUAAAAGUAGGGAGAGGGAGCAGCAUAUUAUAGGAAAGAAGAUCUAAAAGUUUCUAGCGCCUCAGUUUAUCCAGUUGCCUUUGAAACAAUGCUGUCUUGGGAUUGUAACCAGAAGAAAGAAAAAAACUGGUACUAUAUAAAUUAGAACUUUUACUAACUUGUAGUCUUAAAUUCUAUGUGCCAAAACCAAAAUAUAGACUUUGAUUCAAGGGUGCUUAUACCAAAAGUAAAGUUGAUACUUGGCAAUCUAAUAAAACUAUACUGUGGUUCUUACAUUUUAAAAAUUAGGCCUUUGUCCCUAGUUUAAGGGUCUGCAUUAUCUAAUAAAAGUGGUAUAAUUCUUCCUAACUGAAAAAAGGUUCUUGGUGGUGAAGAUGUGAUGGAAAAUUUUCUCUGUGAUAUAAAGGUUCCUGCUGUUGCUAAAUCUUCAACUAGGUCUCAAUAAGUACAAAUUACCCUCUCAAUUAGAAACAAGGUAGGAAGUGAAGGGAUUUUUGGAGUGUGUUCUGGAUCCCGAGGCUUGUUUUCUGCUAAUAAUUACAUUUAUCUUCUAAUUUAGUUACCGUGCAUUGUCUAACAAAAACAAGAAGCAUCUCUUAUUCUAUGGCUGUCUUCCCAAUCUACCAUGGUUUCCCAACUUUGGGCUUUUAUAAGUACUGCUUGUUUACUUUGAUCUACAAGCUUACCAAGUUCAUUGUCCCGUGCUUAAUGCCUUAUCACAAAUGGGAUAGGAACUGAUUUCUUUCUAAAGUGAUCUUCCAAAGCUAUCUGAUAUUUCUUUAUCAGUAGUGAAAAAUUAAAUUGGCUGCCACUUCUCAUCUCUUUUCGAACUACUUAUUUGCCUUCAAGUAAUCAUGCUGUCACUUGAUGUCUUUAAAAAUGAAAAGGGAACCAUUUAAAGAAGUAGAUAGUAAACCUGUCUCUUAGAUUCUUCCCUUUCCUUUCAAGUUCUGAACUCUGGAGUACUAAAUACUAAUUCAUUCCUUCAGUGACUUAAUAAUACAUUUACUAUGCAUUAACAAUAAAAGUAUUUAGAAACGUAUUUAACUAGCAUUAUUGUACAACUAACAUUUGUUCGGGAGUUCAUAGAAAAGGACCUAAGAAUAAGCCAAUUACUUCACUUACACCUUUUUAUAAACAGUUUUAGUUAAAAGCCUACUUGGUAUUUCAAGCAUUCCAUUUCAUGUCACAUUUUUCAUUCACCUGCCAGGAUGCUUUUUAUUUGAGAAAAAUAUCCAUUUAUGAUAUGAAAUUAAAUGUUUCAGACUCAUCCAUUUUUAAUAUGAUGUAUGAAAUCUUAAGGGUUUAUCCUGGGUACAUUGUGGUAUAAAAGUAUAGUGACUACGACAGUAUAUACAGAUUGUAUAAUAGCUGUAAAAGACUAUUAACUUUUAGGUCACCUGCCAAGGCCACAAUUUUUUAUCCUUUAUCUGUUGAUGUAGAAUAUUCCCGUUUAUCUUCUUGUCCUUCUCUGUUGUUCUUAAGGAAUUCCUUCAAAAUACUAUCAAUCCAUUAUCGUGUAUAUAUGCUAGGAAUAUAUUUCUCACAUCUAAAUUUUGCUUUUUUCCUAUAGUUUGUCAGAGGAAUGGCUGUGAAUGGAUGCCUGGAAGGACCAUCCUCUAAAUUUCUCAGUUGCCUGUUCAUUGUGGCAUUGGUUGGCAAUGAAUCUACUCAUCUUUUAUGUCUUUAGCAACCAGCCACCCAGGACUGCAUUUUCCAUAAAUGAAUGAAUUACUGUUACAAAUCUUACAUGUGAAAGGAUCCAUAAUUCUGGGACAGACAGAAUUCAAGCUGAACAUGUUGGCCUGUAAUGUCAAACCUGGGAAGGAGAUUUAUUUGCUACAGAAUCAUAUGUCAAGCUAAAAUUUACCUUAUGAGAUUUGUUGAAAUAACAUUCUGGAUAGAACUCCCAAAUCUAUCCAAUCUAGUUUGUUUCUUACUCAUUAAAGAAUAUUUGAUAAUGA
Molecule: long non-coding RNA, 2305 nt
Organism: Macaca mulatta (Rhesus monkey)
Lineage: Eukaryota; Metazoa; Chordata; Mammalia; Primates; Cercopithecidae
Source: RefSeq, a predicted model, not a curated record